AUACGGAGGAUCCAAGCGUUAUCCGGAUUUAUUGGGUUUAAAGGGUGCGUAGGCGGAAUGGUAAGUCAGCUGUGAAAGUUUGCGGCUUAACCGUAAAAUUGCAGUUGAUACUGUCAGUCUUGAGUGUGCAUGAGGUGGGCGGAAUUUGUGGUGUAGCGGUGAAAUGCUUAGAUAUCACGAGGAACUCCAAUUGCGAAGGCAGCUCACUGGGGCAUAACUGACGCUGAUGCACGAAGGUGUGGGUAUCAAACAGGAUUAGAUACCCUGGUAGUCCACACAGUAAACUAUGAAUACUCGCUGUUUGCGAUAUACAGUAAGCGGCCAAGCGAAAGCAUUAAGUAUUCCACCUGGGGAGUACGCCGGCAACGGUGAAACUCAAAUGAAUUGACGGGG
RNAcentral lists this ribosomal RNA (393 nucleotides) under uncultured bacterium. RNAcentral describes it as "partial 16S ribosomal RNA". It matches the Rfam family "Bacterial small subunit ribosomal RNA", at positions 523 to 918 of the family's 1533-position model. The record is from RNAcentral.